RNAcentral lists this long non-coding RNA (280 nucleotides) under Elaeis guineensis (African oil palm). RNAcentral's name for it is "long non-coding RNA (EGUI_LNC064658)". Lineage: Eukaryota; Viridiplantae; Streptophyta; Magnoliopsida; Arecales; Arecaceae. The record is from RNAcentral.
GGAGGGUCUUGCCAGAGCAACCCCAACUCUGGUUUAGACUUCUUUUGCAGGUUCCGACGGCGAUCGCGACUCCCUCGACUCCAGCUUCUCCGAUGCAGAUGGAUUUUUGCACCAACAGUGUCUAAGAUAAGUUUGGCAGAUUGACCAGUGGUUUUUAAGUGGGAGCUACUCACAUUGAUUCGAUCUCUGAUGAGUUAAUGGCUUAUCCCCACCACUGAUCUCACUUACCUGGCCAACCUGGUGAGUUAGGUUUUGAUCAGAUCACUUGAUGAUUAGGGCU